Molecule: ribosomal RNA, 468 nt
Filed under: uncultured bacterium
Lineage: Bacteria
Description: partial 16S ribosomal RNA
Rfam family: Bacterial small subunit ribosomal RNA
Source: RNAcentral
GACGAACGCUGGCGGCGUGCUUAACACAUGCAAGUCGAACGGAAAGGCGCAGCUUUUGUGGGGUUCUCGAGGGGCGAACGGGAGAGUAACACGUGAGUAACCUGCCCUGGAGUUUGGGAUAACUUCAGGAAACUGGGGCUAAUACCUGCGAGGAGCGCCUGCUGCAUGGUGGGGUUUGGAAAUUUUGGGCGGUUGGGGCUGGAGUCGGGGCUUAUCAGCUUGUGGGGUGGGUAGUGGCUUACCAAGGCUUUGACUGGUAGCCCGCAUGGGAGGGUGGACACCCACAUUGGGCCUGCGAUACGGCCCAGACUCCUACGGGAGGCAGCAGGCGGGAAUAUUGCACAAUGGUGGGAAGCCUGAGGCGGCAACCCCGCGUGCGUGAAGAAGGCCUUCGGGUUGUAAACCGCUUUAGCUUGUGACGAAGCGUGAGUGACGGUAAUGGGUAAAGAAGCACCGGCUAACUACGUG